GCCGGCGUAGUGCAGUGGUCAGCACGUUUCGUUGUGGGGAAACCAGAGCGGUAGUUUAUGAGGAAAAGCUGAAAAGCUUGCUCUAUUCUACGAGUCUGGGACCUGACGACCGAAGAAACCUUAGUUCAAAUCUGAGCGCCGGCA
Molecule: non-coding RNA, 144 nt
Organism: Exophiala sideris
Lineage: Eukaryota; Fungi; Ascomycota; Eurotiomycetes; Chaetothyriales; Herpotrichiellaceae
Source: the annotation of a GenBank genome assembly